AAAAAGACAAACCUUGGUUUCCGUAUCCAACGUUUGACUAUCCGUCUUAUUUAAAAAAAAUUAAAAAGAUAAGUCACACAUAAAAUAUUAAUCAUGUUUUAUCAUCUAACAGCAAUGAAAAUACUAAUUAUAAAAAAAAUUCAUAUAAGACGGACAGUCAAACGUUGGCACGGAAACCCAGGGUUUGCUUUUUU
RNAcentral lists this microRNA precursor (194 nucleotides) under Oryza nivara. Its description in RNAcentral is "MIR812 microRNA precursor family". It matches the Rfam family "MIR812 microRNA precursor family". The record is from Rfam by way of RNAcentral. Lineage: Eukaryota; Viridiplantae; Streptophyta; Magnoliopsida; Poales; Poaceae.